RNAcentral lists this unclassified non-coding RNA (1164 nucleotides) under Hevea brasiliensis (rubber tree). Lineage: Eukaryota; Viridiplantae; Streptophyta; Magnoliopsida; Malpighiales; Euphorbiaceae. The record is from RNAcentral.
GCUCAAAGGCAGGAUGCCCCAUCAGCUAUACUACAAGCCAACAAGUUGAAUGAUCCAGAAACGGUAAGGAAAAGAUCAAAGCUGAUGCUUCCUGCACCACAGAUUUCAGACCAUGAAUUGGAGGAAAUUGCAAAGAUGGGUUAUGCAAGUGAUCUUGCUGGGAGUGAGGAACUAACUGAAGGGAGUGGUGCAACACGUGCUCUUCUAGCGAACUAUGCCCAGACACCACAGCAGGGAAUGACACCAUUGCGAACUCCACAAAGAACUCCUGCUGGUAAGGGUGAUGCUAUCAUGAUGGAGGCAGAAAACUUGGCUCGGUUGAGGGAGUCACAGACCCCAUUAUUGGGAGGAGAUAACCCAGAGUUGCACCCUUCAGAUUUUUCAGGGGUAACCCCCAAGAAAAGGGAGAUCCAAACACCAAAUCCGAUGCUGACCCCUUCUGCAACUCCCGGAGGUGUUGGUCUUACUCCUAGAAUUGGCAUGACGCCAUCAAGGGACGGGUACUCUUUUGGUAUGACACCAAAGGGAACUCCCAUCAGGGAUGAACUCCAUAUUAAUGAAGACAUGGAUAUGCAUGAUAGUGCAAAACUUGAGCAACGAAGACAAGCUGAUAUAAGAAGGAACUUGCGGUCUGGUCUUAGUAAUCUUCCUCAGCCCAAGAAUGAAUACCAAAUAGUUUUUCAACCACCUCCGGAAGAUCAUGAAGAAGCAGAGGAGAAGAUUGAAGAGGAUAUGUCUGAUAGGAUAGCUAGAGAAAAGGCUGAGGAAGAAGCAAGACUGCAGGCUUUGCUUAGGAAGAGAUCAAAAGUAUUGCAGAGGGAACUUCCUAGGCCUCCUGCUGCUUCAUUGGAACUAAUUAGAAAUUCUUUGCUGAGAGCUGAUGAAGAUAAGAGCUCCUUUGUUCCUCCUACAUCAAUUGAACUGGCUGAUGAAAUGAUACGGAAGGAGCUUCUAACCUUACUUGAGCAUGAUAAUGCAAAAUAUCCGCUAGAUGAGAAGCAGAAUAAGGAGAAAAAGAAAGGUGCCAAGCGAGCUGCAAAUGCAUCUGCUGUUUCUGUCCCUGUGAUAGAGGAUUUUGAAGAAGAUGAGCUGAAAGAAGCUGAUAAUUUGAUUAGGGAAGAGGCUCAGUAUAUCUGUGUAGCAAUGGGACAUGAAAGUGAAUCU